This 1619-nucleotide ribosomal RNA is filed under the name Salmonella enterica subsp. enterica serovar Agona. RNAcentral's name for it is "partial 23S ribosomal RNA". It matches the Rfam family "Bacterial large subunit ribosomal RNA", at positions 1273 to 2870 of the family's 2925-position model. The record is from RNAcentral. Lineage: Bacteria; Pseudomonadati; Pseudomonadota; Gammaproteobacteria; Enterobacterales; Enterobacteriaceae.
CUGGAGGUAUCAGAAGUGCGAAUGCUGACAUAAGUAACGAUAAAGCGGGUGAAAAGCCCGCUCGCCGGAAGACCAAGGGUUCCUGUCCAACGUUAAUCGGGGCAGGGUGAGUCGACCCCUAAGGCGAGGCCGAAAGGCGUAGUCGAUGGGAAACGGGUUAAUAUUCCCGUACUUGGUGUUACUGCGAAGGGGGGACGGAGAAGGCUAUGUUGGCCGGGCGACGGUUGUCCCGGUUUAAGCGUGUAGGUGUGUGUUCCAGGUAAAUCCGGUUCACUUUAACACUGAGGCGUGAUGACGAGGCACUACGGUGCUGAAGCAACAAAUGCCCUGCUUCCAGGAAAAGCCUCUAAGCAUCAGGUAACAUCAAAUCGUACCCCAAACCGACACAGGUGGUCAGGUAGAGAAUACCAAGGCGCUUGAGAGAACUCGGGUGAAGGAACUAGGCAAAAUGGUGCCGUAACUUCGGGAGAAGGCACGCUGACACGUAGGUGAAGUGAUUUACUCAUGGAGCUGAAGUCAGUCGAAGAUACCAGCUGGCUGCAACUGUUUAUUAAAAACACAGCACUGUGCAAACACGAAAGUGGACGUAUACGGUGUGACGCCUGCCCGGUGCCGGAAGGUUAAUUGAUGGGGUCAGCGCAAGCGAAGCUCCUGAUCGAAGCCCCGGUAAACGGCGGCCGUAACUAUAACGGUCCUAAGGUAGCGAAAUUCCUUGUCGGGUAAGUUCCGACCUGCACGAAUGGCGUAAUGAUGGCCAGGCUGUCUCCACCCGAGACUCAGUGAAAUUGAACUCGCUGUGAAGAUGCAGUGUACCCGCGGCAAGACGGAAAGACCCCGUGAACCUUUACUAUAGCUUGACACUGAACAUUGAGCCUUGAUGUGUAGGAUAGGUGGGAGGCUUUGAAGUGUGGACGCCAGUCUGCAUGGAGCCGACCUUGAAAUACCACCCUUUAAUGUUUGAUGUUCUAACGUGGACCCGUAAUCCGGGUUGCGGACAGUGUCUGGUGGGUAGUUUGACUGGGGCGGUCUCCUCCUAAAGAGUAACGGAGGAGCACGAAGGUUGGCUAAUCCUGGUCGGACAUCAGGAGGUUAGUGCAAUGGCAUAAGCCAGCUUGACUGCGAGCGUGACGGCGCGAGCAGGUGCGAAAGCAGGUCAUAGUGAUCCGGUGGUUCUGAAUGGAAGGGCCAUCGCUCAACGGAUAAAAGGUACUCCGGGGAUAACAGGCUGAUACCGCCCAAGAGUUCAUAUCGACGGCGGUGUUUGGCACCUCGAUGUCGGCUCAUCACAUCCUGGGGCUGAAGUAGGUCCCAAGGGUAUGGCUGUUCGCCAUUUAAAGUGGUACGCGAGCUGGGUUUAGAACGUCGUGAGACAGUUCGGUCCCUAUCUGCCGUGGGCGCUGGAGAACUGAGGGGGGCUGCUCCUAGUACGAGAGGACCGGAGUGGACGCAUCACUGGUGUUCGGGUUGUCAUGCCAAUGGCACUGCCCGGUAGCUAAAUGCGGAAGAGAUAAGUGCUGAAAGCAUCUAAGCACGAAACUUGCCCCGAGAUGAGUUCUCCCUGAGACUUAGAGUCUCCUGAAGGAACGUUGAAGACGACGACGUUGAUAGGCCGGGUGUGU